Celeribacter halophilus is the source of this 399-nucleotide non-coding RNA. It matches the Rfam family "Bacterial RNase P class A". From Rfam's summary of the family: Ribonuclease P (RNase P) is a ubiquitous endoribonuclease, found in archaea, bacteria and eukarya as well as chloroplasts and mitochondria. Its best characterised activity is the generation of mature 5'-ends of tRNAs by cleaving the 5'-leader elements of precursor-tRNAs. The record is from Rfam. Lineage: Bacteria; Pseudomonadati; Pseudomonadota; Alphaproteobacteria; Rhodobacterales; Roseobacteraceae.
GCGGAUGGCUGGAUAAUCGCCGCUUCGAGCAAUCGGAGGGGAGGAAAGUCCGGACUCCCUUGAGCAACGGUGCCGGGUAACGCCCGGCGGGGGCAACCCCAGGGAUAGCGCCACAGAGAACAGACUGCCCUCUCAUACGGGGGUGAUGGUGAAACGGUGGGGUAAGAGCCCACCGCGCGACUGGCAACAGGAGCGGCACGGCAAGCCCCACCGGGAGCAAUGCCAAAUAGGGGUUCUACGCGAGGACUGUGUGCGCAAGCAUACCGCUCGCAAGGUCGCUCAAGCCUGAGAACCCGGGUUGGCAGCUUGAGCCGUCUGGUAACAGGCGGCCUAGAGGAAUGGUUAUCCAAGGCGGGUUUCCCGCCGGGACAGAAUCCGGCUUACAGGCCAUCCGCGUCA